RNAcentral lists this ribosomal RNA (3206 nucleotides) under Clostridioides difficile. RNAcentral describes it as "bacterial LSU rRNA". The stretch from base 1893 to 3206 matches the Rfam family "Bacterial large subunit ribosomal RNA". The record is from RNAcentral. Lineage: Bacteria; Bacillati; Bacillota; Clostridia; Peptostreptococcales; Peptostreptococcaceae.
AUAUGGUCUAUUAGCUCAGUCGGUAGAGCACCUGACUUUUAAUCAGGGUGUCCCGCGUUCGAGUCGCGGAUAGAUCACCAAUGGAGAGGUGUCCGAGUGGUUUAAGGAGCUGGUCUUGAAAACCAGUGACUUCGAAAGGGGCCGUGGGUUCGAAUCCCACCCUCUCCGCCAAAAAAAAUGACUGAAUUUGGAGAAGUACUCAAGUGGCUCAAGAGGAUCCCCUGCUAAGGGAUUAGGCUGGGUAACCGGUGCGAGGGUUCGAAUCCCUCCUUCUCCGCCAUUCAAAAACGAGGUGUAGCGCAGUUUGGUAGCGCACAUGGUUUGGGACCAUGGGGCCGGGGGUUCGAGUCCCUUCACCUCGACCAACUUAAGUUUUUAGUUCGGUUGGUUAGAGUGCCCAACUCAUAACUAGUAAUUCUAGGGUUUGAGUCCAUGAAGGUUAUUCUUCAUAGGGGUGUAGCUCAGUUGGUAGAGCGUCGGUCUCCAAAACCGUGCGCCGGGGGUUCGAGUCCCUCCACCCCUGCCAAAUAAAAAGGACUUGAAAAAAGUUGGAUUUUAGAGUAAUAUAAGAUAGUAAAUAAGAUUUCGAGGUGUAGCGCAGUUUGGUAGCGCACAUGGUUUGGGACCAUGGGGCCGGGGGUUCGAGUCCCUUCACCUCGACCAAGAAAGGGCCUAUAGCUCAGGUGGUUAGAGCGCACGCCUGAUAAGCGUGAGGUCGCUGGUUCGAGUCCAGCUAGGCCCACCAUUUGCCCAGAUAGCUCAGUCGGUAGAGCAGGGGACUGAAAAUCCCCGUGUCGGUGGUUCGAUUCCGCCUCUGGGCACCAGGAAUACGGCGGUAUAGCUUAGUUGGCUAGAGCGUUCGGUUCAUACCCGAAAGGUCAUAGGUUCGACUCCUAUUACCGCUACCAUCUAACUAUAUCAAUAAAGAACUUUGAAAAUUAAACAGUAGGUUAAUUUAUAAAACAAGAAACAAACCAUAAAGCCAGAUAUUUUGAUAACAAUAGUAUCUGAGCCUGAUAAACUUUUAUUUGAGAGUUUGAUCCUGGCUCAGGAUGAACGCUGGCGGCGUGCCUAACACAUGCAAGUUGAGCGAUUUACUUCGGUAAAGAGCGGCGGACGGGUGAGUAACGCGUGGGUAACCUACCCUGUACACACGGAUAACAUACCGAAAGGUAUGCUAAUACGGGAUAAUAUAUUUGAGAGGCAUCUCUUGAAUAUCAAAGGUGAGCCAGUACAGGAUGGACCCGCGUCUGAUUAGCUAGUUGGUAAGGUAACGGCUUACCAAGGCGACGAUCAGUAGCCGACCUGAGAGGGUGAUCGGCCACAUUGGAACUGAGACACGGUCCAAACUCCUACGGGAGGCAGCAGUGGGGAAUAUUGCACAAUGGGCGAAAGCCUGAUGCAGCAACGCCGCGUGAGUGAUGAAGGCCUUCGGGUCGUAAAACUCUGUCCUCAAGGAAGAUAAUGACGGUACUUGAGGAGGAAGCCCCGGCUAACUACGUGCCAGCAGCCGCGGUAAUACGUAGGGGGCUAGCGUUAUCCGGAUUUACUGGGCGUAAAGGGUGCGUAGGCGGUCUUUCAAGUCAGGAGUGAAAGGCUACGGCUCAACCGUAGUAAGCUCUUGAAACUGGGAGACUUGAGUGCAGGAGAGGAGAGUGGAAUUCCUAGUGUAGCGGUGAAAUGCGUAGAUAUUAGGAGGAACACCAGUUGCGAAGGCGGCUCUCUGGACUGUAACUGACGCUGAGGCACGAAAGCGUGGGGAGCAAACAGGAUUAGAUACCCUGGUAGUCCACGCUGUAAACGAUGAGUACUAGGUGUCGGGGGUUACCCCCUUCGGUGCCGCAGCUAACGCAUUAAGUACUCCGCCUGGGAAGUACGCUCGCAAGAGUGAAACUCAAAGGAAUUGACGGGGACCCGCACAAGUAGCGGAGCAUGUGGUUUAAUUCGAAGCAACGCGAAGAACCUUACCUAAGCUUGACAUCNCGCACAUGGUUUGGGACCAUGGGGCCGGGGGUUCGAGUCCCUUCACCUCGACCAAUAUAAGGUGGGUAUAGCUCAGUUGGUUAGAGCGCCAGAUUGUGGCUCUGGAGGUCGUGAGUUCGACUCUCAUUAUCCACCCCAAAUUAUAUGGUCNGCUGACGCCUGCCCGGUGCUGGAAGGUUAAGGGGAUCUGUUAGAGCAAUCGAAGCAGUGAACUUAAGCCCCAGUAAACGGCGGCCGUAACUAUAACGGUCCUAAGGUAGCGAAAUUCCUUGUCGGGUAAGUUCCGACCCGCACGAAAGGCGUAACGAUUUGGGCACUGUCUCAACAACAGACUCGGUGAAAUUGUAAUUCCGGUGAAGAUGCCGGAUACCUGCGACAGGACGGAAAGACCCCAUGGAGCUUUACUGUAGCUUGACAUUGGGUCUUGGUACUACAUGUACAGGAUAGGUGGGAGGCUUUGAAACCAGGACGCCAGUUUUGGCGGAGCCAUCCUUGGGAUACCACCCUUGUAGUACUGGGACUCUAACCAUAGGCCAUGAAUCUGGUCUUGGGACACUGUCAGGUGGGCAGUUUGACUGGGGCGGUCGCCUCCCAAAAGGUAACGGAGGCGCUCAAAGGUUCUCUCAGUACGGUCGGAAAUCGUACGUAGAGUGUAAAGGCAAAAGAGAGCUUGAUUGCAAGACAUACAGGUCGAGCAAGGAUGAAAAUCGGACUUAGUGAUCCGGUGGUUCUGCGUGGAAGGGCCAUCGCUCAACGGAUAAAAGCUACCCUGGGGAUAACAGGCUUAUCUCCCCCAAGAGUCCACAUCGACGGGGAGGUUUGGCACCUCGAUGUCGGCUCAUCACAUCCUGGGGCUGUAGUAGGUCCCAAGGGUUGGGCUGUUCGCCCAUUAAAGUGGUACGCGAGCUGGGUUCAGAACGUCGUGAGACAGUUCGGUCCCUAUCCGUCGCAGGCGUAGGAAAUUUGAGAAGACCUGUCCUUAGUACGAGAGGACCGGGAUGGACGUACCUCUGGUGUACCAGUUGUUCUGCCAAGGGCAUGGCUGGGUAGCUAUGUACGGAAUGGAUAAGCGCUGAAAGCAUCUAAGCGCGAAGCCAACUUCAAGAUAAGAUUUCCCACCGCAAGGGUAAGACCCCAGAAAGACUAUCUGGUUGAUAGGUCGAAGGUGUAAGUGCAGCAAUGUAUUUAGCUUAUCGAUACUAAUAGGUCGAGGACUUGACCAA